This 497-nucleotide ribosomal RNA is filed under the name uncultured bacterium. Its description in RNAcentral is "partial 16S ribosomal RNA". It matches the Rfam family "Bacterial small subunit ribosomal RNA", at positions 28 to 507 of the family's 1533-position model. The record is from RNAcentral.
GAUGAACGCUGGCGGCGUGCCUAAUACAUGCAAGUCGAGCGAACGGACGAGAAGCUUGCUUUUCUGAUGUUAGCGGCGGACGGGUGAGUAACACGUGGAUAACCUACCUAUAAGACUGGGAUAACUUCGGGAAACCGGAGCUAAUACCGGAUAAUAUUUUGAACCGCAUGGUUCAAAAGUGAAAGACGGUCUUGCUGUCACUUAUAGAUGGAUCCGCGCUGCAUUAGCUAGUUGGUAAGGUAACGGCUUACCAAGGCAACGAUGCAUAGCCGACCUGAGAGGGUGAUCGGCCACACUGGAACUGAGACACGGUCCAGACUCCUACGGGAGGCAGCAGUAGGGAAUCUUCCGCAAUGGGCGAAAGCCUGACGGAGCAACGCCGCGUGAGUGAUGAAGGUCUUCGGAUCGUAAAACUCUGUUAGUAGGGAAGAACAGAUGUGUAAUUAACUGUGCACAGCUUGACGGUACCUAAUCAGAAAGCCACGGCUAACUACGUG